CUGCAGCUCUGAAUCCACUGAAUCAUAGUCGAGCUCCGCAUCACGCAGUGCUGUCAGAAGCCGAUCCUUCUCCUUCUCAAGCGCAGCUAGGGAGUCGCUGAUCCUCUCCGCCCUCUCAAAGUCCUCGGCCUCGCAGGCCUCCUCCAGCUCCCUCUCCAAAUCCUUGUGCCUGGAUGCCACUGAAGUCGCCUCCUCUGCCACCUUCCUCCGCCGACCUGCCAGCUGCCUCUUCCUGGCAACCACAGCAGCAGCCCUCUGCUGGAUGGAGUCGAGCUUGCUGGAGAUUUGGGAUCUGAGAAGAGCCAACCUCUCCUCGAUCCCGACCGCUGCUGCGACUCCAGCCACUUCAUCCUCUUUCUGAUCAUCUUCCUCCUUCGCCUCCUCCUCUACCUCACGAGGAGGAUUGGUAUCCGGAUCCACCACCACCUCUGCGUCUACCUCAUCGCCGUUAGCAUAGGCGUCAACUUGCUGCUCCGGGAACUGGUCAGGCGUAGGAGGAGCGGCAGGUUGCGGCGAAGCAUCCAGGAAGGCAAUACUACUAGCGGAGAACGUAGCAGCGGUAGAGGAACGAACUGUGGCGGGAGGCGAAGGCGGCGCGGGCUGGGGCGAGCGGCCGUACCCGAUGCGCACGGCCCUCUUCUUCUUCCGGAGCGACGAGGAGGACGGCUGCCGGGAGAGAGCAGCAGCGGGGGCGGGGGCAGGCGACGGCGACGGCGCCAGGGCGAGCGCGGCCGGCGCCGCGUGGCCCCGAUCCUCGCCCUGCGGGAGCGGCGGCUGCUCGAGCGUGAGCGGCUCCUGCGGGGCGAGGAGGGUGAGAUCGGAGAAGAGGUCCUCGUCGAGCGGCGGCGGCGCGGAGGAGGAGGCGGCUGCGCCGGCGUCGGCAUCGGCGUCGGGGCGCGGCGCGGGAUCGGGUUCGGGAACAGGGGCGGGGGCGGGGGCGGGGGCCGCCUCCUCGGCGGCGGCCGGCUCGGGCGCGAAGAGGACCAUGCCCUCGAAGAGCGAGCUGCCGUCGUCCCCGCCGCCCCACGCGUCGGCGCCGCCGUCCUGGGACGCCAUCGCCGCCGACGCACUCCUGACCAACAACCUGUUGCAACCUUGUGACGGAUCCGGGACGACGAGGGCGGAGUGGACUCAGCAAUGGAUGGGCGGCGCCGCCGCUGCGUACUAGUAGAUGAUUAUUAGGAUCAUGGAGUGAUUCGGGUGGCAAUCGCGCGGCCUCCGACUCCGAGUCUGUUAACUUUGUCGCGUACCACGAAACUGGAUCGGAUUGGGGAGGACGAUGAGCUGCUCGCGCUGCGUCUUCUCGGCAAAACUGUGGGCACGACGAUGCCUUGCGUGGAAGCAGCAAAGCAAGAGUUCAGAACCACUUAACUCCAUAUCUAUCCGAAUUCUCGCAGCAAUCAAAGAACUUUCCAACGAAGCCCUAAUUCCGAACUUGAACAAGAAAAGAUCCGGAAGCAAUCCUCGCUUUCCAACGAAGCCCCAAUGAUGAUUGAAUGCCUGUUUCUUAUAUAUUAAAGACGCACCGUUCCUCGCAAUGCUAUUCGUCCACGACAGUAAAAAAAAAUAUCAACCAUUGGAUAUACGUGGUGCGGUCCGCAUCGUCCGACCAGCACUGCCUUCCGCGCAUAGCUUCUGAGCACGCUGCGAUUCGAUUUGUGGGAACUUUCUAGGCUAUGUUUAGAUAGGGGAAAAGUUGGGCGAAAAAGUCACAUUGGUCACUGUAGUAUAAUGUAGUAUUUUUUGUUUGUUUGUGGUAAAUAUUAUUCUACCAUGACCUAACUAGGCUCAAAAGAUUCGUCUCGCAACGUACAUCAAAACUAUUGCAAUUAGUUUUUUAUUUAACUACAUUUAGUACUCCAUGCAUGUGUCAUUUACUAUAUUUAAUGUUUCGAUGUGAUAGAGGAUGUGAUGGAAAGUUUGGAAAUUUUGUGGGAUCUAAACACACCCCUAGUGUUCUAUUACUGUACCUUGUAGCUAGGAAAAAUCUUCCCUGGUAAAGGAUCCAAGCAUUGCCAUCCCUCGAUGCUUCCUUACGCUUGAAUUCCUAGCGGAUGCCGAAAGUGGCGGCAGCGGCGGCGCGGCGGACCGAUAGCUCCACAGUCAGGAGGAGGCUCGCUACCUUCGACCAUAGCACCUGAUCCUCCUUCCCUUCCUCACACUCUUCGGGCGCCGAGCAGAGCAAGAUGGCCAGGUGCGCCUCCAUCGAACCCUCCCGUUCCCAACCUCCCUUCCCCUCUCCUCCAACGCCCCGAAGGCCCAAGAGCCUUGCCACCGGCCGGCCGCACAGGACUGCUCGUCCAAUGCUCCAGCAUGCGGCUAGGGGUCGCGAGGAGCAUGGGCCCGGCGUGGCUCUGGCCACGGGGAGAGGCUAGGGGUCGCGAGGAGCAUGGGCCCGGCGUGGCUCUGGCCACGGGGAGAGGCGCGGCUCCGGCUGCUCGAGCCAUCACGGCUCGGAGCGCGAACCCCCCCAGGCCACAGCGUCCCCGCCGGCCGCCGCUUUGACAAGCCAUGGUACUAGCGUUCUCCAUCCUCCAUCAUUUGGCGUGGCUGCCUCCGUGCCUGUCACGUUGCAAUCGAGGCUGUCUCCCUGUCCAAGUAGGUCCGGCGGAUCUCCCGCACCGUCCGCCUGACCAUCGCUCUCCGCCGCCGUCUCGCCGCGCGGGCUCCUCCUGCCUGCCUUCGCGCUCCCCGCAUCUUUUGAGGCCUAUGCUUGAUUUGGUUCCUCUGUUCUGUAUUUUCAUUUUUUCUAUGAUUUAUAAUGCAUGCUGUAUGCGUAUUGACUGGAGAGCUAUUGGUAGCAGGUAUUAGCAACUUUCUUUCCUUUUAUUAAUCUAGCUGUCCUUUGUUCCCAUACAUGUUCUGGUCGCACCAAAUCCAGGUUUAUAAAUGUGAAAUUGCAGGUUAUCUAACACACACUGUAUUUAUGACUUAUGUUAAGAAGUCCUGUUAGUUUAGAGAUUAGUUUGCUAUUACUCUCAAGGGUUGGAGUCCUAUGUUUGAUUGAUUCUACUUCACAUAAACCUGUCACAUUAUGUUCAGUUAAUUACUUCUUUGAUACUAUGAAAAAGAUAUAGCAUACCAUUGUAGAUGCUGCUUGUGCUUCUUUCUGCUAUAGCUGAUGCUGAUAUAAAUGCUCCUAGAUACAUACCCUUGCAUAUUUUUGCUGGCAGUUCUUGUCAUGUGCUUGUGAUGAUGUGAUUUAAGGAUCUGAUUAUGAAAGCUCUAAUUCUUAACAUUUAUAUGGUUAAGACAUAUUGCUUUCUGCAUAAAAGUAUCCAUCUUCUUUCUAAUCUAAUUUUUGACUGAAUAUUUACUGUCCAUAUACUGUUUGUUGGAUACUCCUAGAAUGAAUAUUUCAAUUAAUGUAAUGGCUAUAUGCAGAGUCUAUGGCCCUCCUAACCUUCUCUUGGAAAUGAAGCUGCUGGGCCAAGGGUGUAAUGGCUACAUGCAGAGUCCAUGUCCCUCCUGACCUUUUCUGGGAAAUGAAGCUGCUAGGCCAAAGUUGCGUGGCUUAUCUUGAAGAAUUUAGUCCAUUAAACUACAUAUACAAGGUAUGUUGCCAAUCGACAGAAUUCUUACAUACCUCUGCUGCUCUUACGAUCUUUAUAGUCCAGUGUUUUAAAGUCAAUGGGCAUCAGAAGGGACUCUUUCAAGGUAAGUUUAGGCUCAGCUAAUUUAAGUGCUCUUCGAUAAAGAUUCUUUACAGCUCUCAAGCUUUUCAUGGCACCUCGGCAAUAGUGAUAUCAAAUGUUCUGAAAAAUGUGUUUACCUAGAAGAGUAAAUUCACCAGUCUUGACUCAUGUGCUACAAAGUUUCAGCUAUUUCUGUUAACCUUCAGAGAAUAGUAAGUAGGUUCAUCGAUUGAUUAGGUAUGUAAAUUUCUCACAUGUACGAACAAUGCUCACAGCUUGUUUGGUCAAUUGACCAAGAAAGCUGCCAUUUAUUUCAAAAUAGAGCAAAGGCUGCGUCAUCUUCAUAAUAUAAUACUUAUUCUUUCAAAAAUUUAUGUUCACUCAGUUAUUCUGAUUUCCAAAGUGAAAUAAGUGCAGCACCUCAUAUUUCCACUCUAGUGUGUGCAGGUCAGCUGGUACAUGUGUUCAGACACAAGCAUGGAUUAUCUCCAAUAAAGAGAGGUUGCCAUUUGAAAAGGAUCUACAUCACUACAUGGUGGUGCAAGAAGUGAUCCUGUCCAGUCCAGCAAUGAGAAGGCUUCGUGGCGGUCGCGGACUCAUCUGCGCGGUUACUAUAUUUUUGGAGGGGGGCAACAACAACCAUGCAGCUCGCAGGCUCCGAGCCUGGGCGGGAAGGCGCCGCAGCGGGCGGCCUCAACCAUCGCGCCACAGACGCGUCUGCUAUGUAAAAUUAAUAUUGUUUUGUAUUUAAAAUAUAUUAUGUUAAACCUAUAUAUCCUAGCUAAUAAAUUGCAAAUUAUUCAAAAUGUGCC
Panicum virgatum (switchgrass) is the source of this 4447-nucleotide RNA transcript. RefSeq lists it as uncharacterized. The transcript has 6 exons. NCBI's taxonomy places the organism in Eukaryota, Viridiplantae, Streptophyta, Magnoliopsida, Poales, Poaceae. The record is from RefSeq and is a predicted model, not a curated record.